GUGGCAGAAACCACUCCACUAAAGCGUUCUUAAAGUUUUGUCCGCGCUCGUGGACCGCUUAACUUUCCUUGGUAAAAGAAUAAAAACUGGAUCCGACCACCGCUUGUUUUGCUUACCGGCGGUCUCGCCGCCCUCCAGUCCUCCCGCCGCCACCCUCCGAGCCCGGGAAGAGGAUGCCCUGCAUUCCUCUCUCCGUCCGAUCCCUCUCCUCCUCCCUCCUCCGCUCCCUCCUCUUUCUCUCCAUGACCAUCUUCCUCCUCUACCUCCUCCUCUUCCCCAACCCCCUACUCCGCCCCCCGGCCGCAUCCUCCUCCUCCGCCGCCCCCACCCUCGCCACCGCCGCCCCCACCCUCGCCACCGCCGGCGCUACGUCCGUCCACCACUUACUAUUUGGCAUAGCCUCCUCCGCCCGCGCUUGGCCCCGCCGCCGGGACUACCUCCGCCUCUGGUGGCGCCCCGCCCUCAUGCGCGGCUUCGUCUUCCUCGACUCCGGCGUCGGCGGCGGCGUAGGCGACGAUCCGACCCUCCCUCCGACUCGCGUCUCCGCCGAUGCUUCCCGCUUCCCCUAUUCCUUCAAGGGCGGCCUACGAUCGGCCGUCCGCGUGGCCCGGAUCGCCAAGGAGCUCGUCGAGGCUGUCGAUGGCCGCUUCGCCCCUGGCGACGUGAGGUGGAUCGUGCUCGGGGACGACGACACGGUGUUCUUCCCGGAGAAUCUCGCCGGAACGCUAGCGAAGUACGACUGGGAGCGGUUGUACUACGUCGGGGGUCGGUCGGAGGGCUUGACGCAGAACAUGGCGCAUUCUUUCGGGAUGGCAUUCGGGGGAGGGGGGAUUGCGAUCAGCUACCCAUUGGCGAGGGCUUUGGCGAAGGUUUUGGAUUCUUGCCUUGUGAGGUAUGCCCAUUUAUAUGGCAGCGAUGCUAGGAUUUUUGCCUGCAUAACCGAACUAGGGGUCGGCCUGACUUAUGAGCCCGGAUUCCAUCAGGUUGACCUUCGUGGAGACCUUCUGGGGGUGUUGUCUGCACAUCCAUUGGCCCCUUUGGUAUCACUUCAUCAUUUGGACAAUGUGGAGCCAUUGUUCCCUAGCAUGAAUCGUACAAUGGCCUUGAAGCAUUUAUUUGAAGCUGUAAAUGUGGAUCCAGCCAGGAUUUUACAGCAGACUGUUUGUUAUGACCGCUUGAAAAUGCUUACCGUUUCAGUUUCCUGGGGUUAUACGGUUCAGGUGUUUGAAGGCAAUCAACUUCUUCCUGACCUUCUCUCUUUGCAACAGACUUUUGCUCCAUGGAGAAGAAACCGCAAUAUCGCUUCUGGUUUUUAUAUAUUUAAUACAAGGGAGUUUCCAAGGGACCCAUGUAAAAGACCGGCUAUUUUCUUUUUGGAGAGAGUGUUUUCUGGUAGACAUAGAAUCAACAGCAAUUACAGCAGGCAUGUUACUAAUGAUUGUCUGCAAGGCAUGAGCUCAACAAAGAAUUUGCAACAGAUCAGAGUGUCCUCACAGCAACUUAAUCAUGAUAUUUGGCAGGCUCCAAGACGACAAUGCUGUGAUGUUUUACCUUCCUCCACUGACACGGUUAUGAAGAUUGAUGUUAGAAAAUGUAAAGAUGACGAGUUGAUUGCUAUGCAACCAUAGCUAGGAUUGAGAAUAAAACUAGUCUAUUGAGUAUGAGACCUAAGAAGUCCCUUUUGUUAACCUUAAGGCAAAUUCCAAUCCUUGAAGAUGACCAGAUUUGGUACCUGUCCUUCGGCAAUAUAAGUUGGAUUGUUCAGAACCCUGCUCACUAUGUACAUUGGAGUCUUCCUACAUGUUUGUUAUGUUGAACUACUUGAUACAGAAUCCGGAUAUAAUGAGGUUUCAGAGAGGAGAUGGAGUACAUUCAUGGGAAGGCGAUUUUUGUUUUGUUAACCUUCAAUUGAGGGUGUAAAUGUACUUAAACUGAAGCAAAGAUAAGAUGAACUAGCAAAAGUGGAAUAGACAGGAGCUAGUAUGAUGCCUGGAUCCUGAUGGCUCGGCCAUAUUCUACUUGCUAAUGAUGGCGUCAGCUUGUCGCCAUAACAACUGAAGCCAGUUUUGAGAGUGGCCCCAUGUAUAUUUCUGCAUCUAGAUUUUCAUUGGAGUUAGCAUGCUCGCGGUCUCUGUUUUUGUGCAUAAAUAGAGAUGCUCGCUCCUUUGUUUUUUCUUAGAUGAGUGCCUAAAUGUGCACAGAUAGAAAUUUGGAUGUGCUGCAGUUUAUUUUGUAUGAUAACUCUUAUGGCUUUUAUAGAUAAAUAUCUGUCGUUCCCUUUGUCUGGUGAA
Phoenix dactylifera (date palm) is the source of this 2291-nucleotide RNA transcript. It is a transcript of the gene named glycosyltransferase (DUF604), with no coding region annotated. The record is from RefSeq and is a predicted model, not a curated record. NCBI's taxonomy places the organism in Eukaryota, Viridiplantae, Streptophyta, Magnoliopsida, Arecales, Arecaceae.